AUCAUNGGCCUGUUCNUNAAGGCGGUUUGCCCAAGACGGCGAGUGAACUGCAACCCCAGAUUUGAAAUCCGGCCCCGGCCCGAGUUGUAAUCUGCAGAUGAGUCUUCGGGCAAGGCGUCGUCCAAGUUCCCUGGAAUGGGACGCCGGAGAGGGUGAGAGCCCCGUACCGACGGCCGCCGCGCCUGUGCGAAGCUCAUUCGAAGAGUCGAGUAGUUUGGAAAUGCUGCUCUAAUUGCGGGGUAAAUCUCCCGUAAGGCUAAAUACCGGCCAGAGACCGAUAGCGCACAAGUAGCGUGAGCGAAAGAUGAAAAGAGCCUUGAAUAAGGGCGUCAAAAAGUAUGUGAAAUUGUUGUGGGGGAAGCGCUUGGCGCCAGACGUGGCGGCGGUUGGUUACCCGGCGUUACUCGCCGGCGCACUCUGCCGCCGCCAGGCCAGCAUCGGUUCGGCCUGGGACCUACUGACGCGAGGAACGUGGCCCUUCGGGGUGUUACAGCCUCGCGGAGACGUCCCGCGCCGGACCGAGGAUCGCGCUUCGGCUCGGAUGCUGGCGUAAUGGCCCUCAGCGACCCGUCUUGAAACACGGACCAAGGAGUUGACCUACCCGCGAGUGUUUGGGUGUCAAGCCCUCACGCGCAGUGAAAGCGAACGCAGGUGGGAGCCUCGCGCACCAUCGACGAUCCUGAAGUUCACGACGGAUUUUAGUAGAGCGUGCUGGGUCUGACCCGAAAGAAGUGAACUAUGCAUGAAUAGGGUGAAGCCAGAGGAAACUCUGGUGGAGGCUCGCAGCGGUCUUACGGCAAUCGAUCGUCAAUUUUGCAUGGGGGCGAAAAACCAUCGAACCUCUAUAGCUGGUUCUGCGAGUUCCUCGGAUACAAGUUAUCUCAGUUCUUAGGUAACGAAUGAUUAAACUCCGGGCUACUACUGCUUCUCUAUUUCAACUUAUAUUGAAACCUCUGUUCUUCGGAACCAGCUUGAUGAUAAUUAUGGGCNUUGA
RNAcentral lists this ribosomal RNA (994 nucleotides) under Helicoascotaiwania farinosa. RNAcentral describes it as "partial 28S ribosomal RNA". It matches the Rfam family "Eukaryotic large subunit ribosomal RNA", at positions 56 to 1125 of the family's 3401-position model. Lineage: Eukaryota; Fungi; Ascomycota; Sordariomycetes; Pleurotheciales; Pleurotheciaceae. The record is from RNAcentral.